Molecule: ribosomal RNA, 480 nt
Filed under: uncultured bacterium
Lineage: Bacteria
Description: SSU rRNA
Rfam family: Bacterial small subunit ribosomal RNA
Source: RNAcentral
AGGACGAACGCUGGCGGCGUGCUUAACACAUGCAAGUCGAGCGAGGCCCUGUCUUCGGACAGGUGCCCUAGCGGCGAACGGGUGAGUAACACGUGGGCAACCUGCCCCUAGCACUGGGAUAACUCCGGGAAACCGGGGCUAAUACCGGAUAUGACCUCCGAGGGCAUCCUCGUUGGUGUAAAGGAUUCUGGCUAGGGAUGGGCCCGCGGCCUAUCAGCUUGUUGGUGGGGUAAUGGCCUACCAAGGCGACGACGGGUAGCCGGCCUGAGAGGGCGACCGGCCACACUGGGACUGAGACACGGCCCAGACUCCUACGGGAGGCAGCAGUGGGGAAUAUUGCACAAUGGGCGAAAGCCUGAUGCAGCGACGCCGCGUGAGGGAUGACGGCCUUCGGUUGUAAACCUCUUCAGCUCCGACGAAGCGAAGUGACGGUAGGAGCAGAGAAGCACCGGCCAACUACGCGCCAGCAGCCGCGGUAAC